UACGGGGGGAGCAAGCGUUGUUCGGAUUUACUGGGCGUAAAGGGCGCGUAGGCGGCCACUGCAAGUCAGUUGUGAAAUCUCCGGGCUUAACUCGGAAAGGUCAACUGAUACUGCAGGGCUAGAGUACAGAAGGGGCAACUGGAAUUCUCGGUGUAGCGGUGAAAUGCGUAGAUAUCGAGAGGAACACCUGCGGCGAAGGCGGGUUGCUGGGCUGAUACUGACGCUGAGGCGCGAAAGCUAGGGGAGCGAACGGG
This 254-nucleotide ribosomal RNA is filed under the name uncultured bacterium. RNAcentral's name for it is "partial 16S ribosomal RNA". It matches the Rfam family "Bacterial small subunit ribosomal RNA", at positions 524 to 776 of the family's 1533-position model. The record is from RNAcentral.